CGGUGUGGCAGCCCAUGGCGGUGUGACA
RNAcentral lists this small RNA (28 nucleotides) under Bombyx mori (domestic silkworm). Its description in RNAcentral is "ovarian small RNA-14525". The record is from RNAcentral. Lineage: Eukaryota; Metazoa; Arthropoda; Insecta; Lepidoptera; Bombycidae.